Molecule: ribosomal RNA, 255 nt
Filed under: uncultured bacterium
Lineage: Bacteria
Description: partial 16S ribosomal RNA
Rfam family: Bacterial small subunit ribosomal RNA
Source: RNAcentral
GACAUAGGUUGCGAACGUUAUCCGGAAUUAUUGGGCGUAAAGGGUGCGUAGAUGGUUUGAUAAGUUAUCAGUGGUAAAUCGGGGCUCAACCUCGUGGAAGUUGGUAAUACUGUCAUACUCGAGUGCAGGAGAAGUUAACGGAACUCUAUAUGGAGCGGUAAAAUGUGACGAUAUAUAGAAGAACACCAAUAAGGCGAAGGCAGUUAACUAGUCUGUUACUGACAUUGAGGCAUGAAAGCGUGGGGAGCAAAAGGG